AACGAACGCUGGCGGCAUGCCUAACACAUGCAAGUCGAACGAGACCUUCGGGUCUAGUGGCGCACGGGUGCGUAACGCGUGGGAACCUGCCCUUAGGUUCGGAAUAACUCACCGAAAGGGGUGCUAAUACCGGAUAAUGUCUUCGGACCAAAGAUUUAUCGCCUUUGGAUGGGCCCGCGUUGGAUUAGCUAGUUGGUAGGGUAAAAGCCUACCAAGGCGACGAUCCAUAGCUGGUCUGAGAGGAUGAUCAGCCACACUGGGACCGAGACACGGCCCAGACUCCUACGGGAGGCAGCAGUGGGGAAUAUUGGACAAUGGGCGAAAGCCUGAUCCAGCAAUGCCGCGUGAGUGAUGAAGGCCUUAGGGUUGUAAAGCUCUUUUACCCGGGAUGAUAAUGACAGUACCGGGAGAAUAAGCUCCGGCUAACUCCGUG
Molecule: ribosomal RNA, 433 nt
Filed under: uncultured bacterium
Lineage: Bacteria
Description: partial 16S ribosomal RNA
Rfam family: Bacterial small subunit ribosomal RNA
Source: RNAcentral